This 253-nucleotide ribosomal RNA is filed under the name uncultured bacterium. Its description in RNAcentral is "partial 16S ribosomal RNA". It matches the Rfam family "Bacterial small subunit ribosomal RNA", at positions 524 to 776 of the family's 1533-position model. The record is from RNAcentral.
UACAGAGGUCUCAAGCGUUGUUCGGAUUCAUUGGGCGUAAAGGGUGCGUAGGCGGCGCGGCAAGUCGGGUGUGAAAUUUCGAGGCUUAACUUCGAAACUGCAUUCGAUACUGCAGUGCUAGAGGACUGGAGAGGAGGCUGGAAUUUACGGUGUAGCGGUGAAAUGCGUAGAUAUCGUAAGGAAGACCAGUGGCGAAGGCGGGUCUCUGGACAGUUCCUGACGCUGAGGCACGAAGGCCAGGGGAGCAAACGGG